GGGGUAGAAAUAUUUAGUUUUGCAUACUAAAUUUGUUUAAAAUAAAAACCUACCUUA
This 57-nucleotide transfer RNA is filed under the name Macrogyropus costalimai. Its description in RNAcentral is "tRNA-Ala". The record is from RNAcentral. Lineage: Eukaryota; Metazoa; Arthropoda; Insecta; Psocodea; Gyropidae.